Molecule: ribosomal RNA, 185 nt
Filed under: uncultured Eubacteriales bacterium
Lineage: Bacteria; Bacillati; Bacillota; Clostridia; Eubacteriales
Description: uncultured Clostridiales bacterium partial 16S ribosomal RNA
Rfam family: Bacterial small subunit ribosomal RNA
Source: RNAcentral
CCGGGAAACCGGGAUUAAUACCGCAUAAAAUCGUAGAAACACAUGUUUCAACGGUCAAAGAUUUAUCGGUCAUAGAUGGGCUCGCGUCUGAUUAGCUAGUUGGUGAGAUAACAGCCCACCAAGGCGACGAUCAGUAGCCGGUCUGAGAGGAUGAACGGCCACAUUGGAACUGAGACACGGUCCAA